RNAcentral lists this ribosomal RNA (468 nucleotides) under uncultured bacterium. Its description in RNAcentral is "partial 16S ribosomal RNA". It matches the Rfam family "Bacterial small subunit ribosomal RNA", at positions 28 to 507 of the family's 1533-position model. The record is from RNAcentral.
GACGAACGCUGGCGGCGUGCUUAACACAUGCAAGUCGAACGGAAAGGCCCUGCUUUUGUGGGGUGCUCGAGUGGCGAACGGGUGAGUAACACGUGAGUAACCUGCCCUUGACUUUGGGAUAACUUCAGGAAACUGGGGCUAAUACCGGAUAGGAGCUCCUGCUGCAUGGUGGGGGUUGGAAAGUUUCGGCGGUUGGGGAUGGACUCGCGGCUUAUCAGCUUGUUGGUGGGGUAGUGGCUUACCAAGGCUUUGACGGGUAGCCGGCCUGAGAGGGUGACCGGCCUCAUUGGGCCUGAGAUACGGCCCAGACUCCUACGGGAGGCAGCAGUGGGGAAUAUUGCGCAGUGGGCGGACGCCUGAUGCAGCAACGCCGCGUGCGUGAUGACGUCCUUCGGGUUGUAAACCGCUUUCGACUGUGACGAAGCGUGAGUGACGGUAAUGGGUAAAGAAGCACCGGCUAACUACGUG